AUUGAACGCUGGCGGCAUGCUUUACACAUGCAAGUCGAACGGCAGCGCGGGCUUCGGCCUGGCGGCGAGUGGCGAACGGGUGAGUAAUACAUCGGAACGUGCCCAGUAGUGGGGGAUAGCUCGGCGAAAGCCGGAUUAAUACCGCAUACGACCUGAGGGUGAAAGCGGGGGAUCUUCGGACCUCGCGCUAUUGGAGCGGCCGAUGGCAGAUUAGCUAGUUGGUGGGGUAAAGGCCUACCAAGGCGACGAUCUGUAGCUGGUCUGAGAGGACGACCAGCCACACUGGGACUGAGACACGGCCCAGACUCCUACGGGAGGCAGCAGUGGGGAAUUUUGGACAAUGGGCGAAAGCAUGAUCCAGCAAUGCCGCGUGUGUGAUGAAGGCCUUCGGGUUGUAAAGCACUUUUGGCGGGAACGAAAAGGACUGUGCCAAUACCACGGUUCGAUGACGGUACCCGCAGAAUAAGCACCGGCUAACUACGUG
Molecule: ribosomal RNA, 484 nt
Filed under: uncultured bacterium
Lineage: Bacteria
Description: partial 16S ribosomal RNA
Rfam family: Bacterial small subunit ribosomal RNA
Source: RNAcentral